UCGAGAAUCUUCGGCAAUGGGCGCAAGCCUGACCGAGCGACGCCGCGUGUGGGAUGAAGGCCCUCGGGUUGUAAACCACUGUCAGAGGGGAGGAAAUUCUACGGGGUUCACCUCGUAGUUUGACCUAUCUUCAGAGGAAGUACGGGCUAAGUUCGUGCCAGCAGCCGCGGUAAGACGAACCGUACGAACGUUACUCGGAAUCACUGGGCUUAAAGGGUGCGUAGGCGGUCCGGUAAGUCGGGUGUGAAAUACCUCAGCUCAACUGAGGAAUUGCGCCCGAAACUGUCGGACUUGAGGGAGGCAGAGGUGGGCGGAACUUAGGGUGGAGCGGUGAAAUGCGUUGAUAUCCUAAGGAACACCAGUGGCGAAAGCGGCUCACUGGGCCUUUUCUGACGCUGAGGCACGAAAGCUAGGGGAGCGAACG
RNAcentral lists this ribosomal RNA (424 nucleotides) under uncultured prokaryote. RNAcentral's name for it is "bacterial SSU rRNA". It matches the Rfam family "Bacterial small subunit ribosomal RNA", at positions 355 to 774 of the family's 1533-position model. The record is from RNAcentral.